RNAcentral lists this long non-coding RNA (2013 nucleotides) under Dasypus novemcinctus (nine-banded armadillo). RNAcentral's name for it is "lncRNA (ENSDNOG00000051135.1)". The record is from RNAcentral. Lineage: Eukaryota; Metazoa; Chordata; Mammalia; Cingulata; Dasypodidae.
CCCAGAGAGUAUAAAGAGGAAAGAAGCCUUCAGACACGAUGAGUUUAACAACAGUAACUCUAGUAUUACAAGUAAAGUCUCGGCGCAUGGCUUCGGAUUACAGUGGCGUUCCUGAAAACGCAGCUGCGGAUACAGUCUCCCCAUUUGUUUUUAAAGCGAAUCUGGAGGAGGGCGACUUUUCCGGCCACUCUGCUCACCCCCUCACUUCCCAGGCCUAUCGAGGUUGAUGUGGAGAAACGCGGAAAUAUCGAAAGCAAUUAGAGUGGCAUGCUCUCGCUGGGGUCAUCAGUCACUCGGUUGGUACAGACGCCCAAUAAUUGCGGAGAGCGAAAUCUCGGUCAAGUCCAGGCCGGUGGUGCACCGCGCUGCCGAGCGAUAAUCGAGUCGCGCACCGCGGGCCCCCUGGGCGCCGGGCCCAGGGAAUUAGGGCGGAAGGAGGAGAAAUGCCUUCGACCUGGGCAGAGAGCCACCCUGAGCUCCUGGUGCCGCCGCCCCGACCCAGGCCUGCAGACAAAGACCGAAAUGAAGGGCCACGGAGAAGAAGCAGGGCUGCGUGGUGCGGAACAGGCGAGGUGCAAGGAUACAAGCCCAGCUUAGACACGUCCAAAGCAGCCCCGAAGAUCUCAGGCCUUGGAAACAGAAUGCGAAAUCGAGUCUCGUUCAGUUUGAAACCUCGCUCCGGGUGCGUGCUCUUCGGCAACAGGCGACCUGAAUGGAUUUCGAAUCAAGAAGUAAAAUCCCUAAAGAGCACCUGCCACGGCCCGAGGCCGAGCCCUUCUGCCCGGACAAGAAACAACUCCGAGAAAAUCAACCAACCAACAAAAAGCAAAACCAAACAACAAUAACAACAACAAGGAACAAAAUGAGAGGAAAGAAAGUGGGGGCGACCGUGUGCUCGUGAAGUAACUAACCCGGGCGCGAGGAGAGCUCCCUCUCUGGGAAAGGAGGCGCCUCGCAAUUCUAGGCUCGCUGGGACAGGUUCUGGGCAGGUUCGGGGCGCGGCGCCCAGGUGUCGCUCGGGUCCCGGGAUGGGGGUGAGGGGAGGAUCGUGGGCCUCACACACUGCGGUCCAGUCUGCCUUGCCUAGUGGGAUGGGGAGGGGGAUGCGCGCUCCCCGCGUUGCCUAGGAAUGACCCAGAGGUGACUCGGUCCGACCACCGGGCCUGAAGACUAUUUAAGCCACUGAACACCACGCUUCACCCCGCAGGGGAGAGGUAAAGCGCCCGGGAAGUUGUCGCGGUUUUGGAGGUGGAGGUGGGGGGAGCCCUAUCCUGGAUUUCCUCUCCGUGCGUCCGCAGCGCCCGCCUGGCCGCUGGCGCACGCGGGCCCGGGGGCGUUUACCCGCUCGCCGGUGACCCUCCCUUCUAGAAUCAGCAGUCUCCAGUUCUCCUCUAGCUCUCUCUGGACUCCCCUCCCCACCCUCGCCACUGCAUUCGGGUGGAUGAGGGGAUGUCUUUUUGGAACUUCAAGACCGAGACCCCAGGAGCGCCCCGGGAGGAGGUUUCCUCCAAGGAUCGAGGAAAGCCGGGUCUUGCCUCCCGCUCUCGUCCGGGUCUGAGUAGGCAGCGGAAUACGUGGGGAACGUCUGCCUCCCGGCUCGCGUCUUAUCGUAUCCCGAGCGGUGGUUUUUAGGGGAUAAUUCCAAGUGACUUUUGCCUGCGACCUGUGAUCCCCCGCAGCGCGGAGAGGACUCACGCCCCAGAGAGGGAGGGAGGGGGCGCUGUAGCUCCGGCGCAGGACCCUGGUCCCGGGAGGCGGGAGGAGGGCCCACACUGACGCCUUCUGCGCGCGGAGCCGGUUCCUGAGUGCGGUCGUCCCGCCCACACUCGUCUCUCUUCAGGAGAGGGUACUCGGCUCUACCCUCUGCGGCGCGUCAGCAAGUGCCCAGAGUCAGAGCCGAGGAUUCCCGGGGCAGCCCGGGCUUGGGAACUUUUCUUCAGUCGAAAACUUUCCCUCCCUGGCUCCCAUCCCCCAAGUCCCCAGUUUUGGGGGAACCUGGGCGCCUAGCGGGGA